RNAcentral lists this transfer RNA (67 nucleotides) under Clionella kraussii. Its description in RNAcentral is "tRNA-Tyr". The record is from RNAcentral. Lineage: Eukaryota; Metazoa; Mollusca; Gastropoda; Neogastropoda; Clavatulidae.
UGUUUGGUGGCCGAGAAUUUAGGCGGUAGACUGUAGAUCUAUUUACGGGGUUAAGUUCCCUCAACAA